CAUGCAGUCGAGCGGAAACGAGUUAUCUGAACCUUCGGGGGAACGAUAACGGCGUCGAGCGGCGGACGGGUGAGUAAUGCCUAGGAAAUUGCCCUGAUGUGGGGGAUAACCAUUGGAAACGAUGGCUAAUACCGCAUGAUGCCUACGGGCCAAAGAGGGGGACCUUCGGGCCUCUCGCGUCAGGAUAUGCCUAGGUGGGAUUAGCUAGUUGGUGAGGUAAGGGCUCACCAAGGCGACGAUCCCUAGCUGGUCUGAGAGGAUGAUCAGCCACACUGGAACUGAGACACGGUCCAGACUCCUACGGGAGGCAGCAGUGGGGAAUAUUGCACAAUGGGCGCAAGCCUGAUGCAGCCAUGCCGCGUGUGUGAAGAAGGCCUUCGGGUUGUAAAGCACUUUCAGUCGUGAGGAAGGUAGUGUAGUUAAUAGCUGCAUUAUUUGACGUUAGCGACAGAAGAAGCACCGGCUAACUCCGUGCCAGCAGCCGCGGUAAUACGGAGGGUGCGAGCGUUAAUCGGAAUUACUGGGCGUAAAGCGCAUGCAGGUGGUUUGUUAAGUCAGAUGUGAAAGCCCGGGGCUCAACCUCGGAAUAGCAUUUGAAACUGGCAGACUAGAGUACUGUAGAGGGGGGUAGAAUUUCAGGUGUAGCGGUGAAAUGCGUAGAGAUCUGAAGGAAUACCGGUGGCGAAGGCGGCCCCCUGGACAGAUACUGACACUCAGAUGCGAAAGCGUGGGGAGCAAACAGGAUUAGAUACCCUGGUAGUCCACGCCGUAAACGAUGUCUACUUGGAGGUUGUGGCCUUGAGCCGUGGCUUUCGGAGCUAACGCGUUAAGUAGACCGCCUGGGGAGUACGGUCGCAAGAUUAAAACUCAAAUGAAUUGACGGGGGCCCGCACAAGCGGUGGAGCAUGUGGUUUAAUUCGAUGCAACGCGAAGAACCUUACCUACUCUUGACAUCCAGAGAACUUUCCAGAGAUGGAUUGGUGCCUUCGGGAACUCUGAGACAGGUGCUGCAUGGCUGUCGUCAGCUCGUGUUGUGAAAUGUUGGGUUAAGUCCCGCAACGAGCGCAACCCUUAUCCUUGUUUGCCAGCGAGUAAUGUCGGGAACUCCAGGGAGACUGCCGGUGAUAAACCGGAGGAAGGUGGGGACGACGUCAAGUCAUCAUGGCCCUUACGAGUAGGGCUACACACGUGCUACAAUGGCGCAUACAGAGGGCGGCCAACUUGCGAAAGUGAGCGAAUCCCAAAAAGUGCGUCGUAGUCCGGAUUGGAGUCUGCAACUCGACUCCAUGAAGUCGGAAUCGCUAGUAAUCGUGGAUCAGAAUGCCACGGUGAAUACGUUCCCGGGCCUUGUACACACCGCCCGUCACACCAUGGGAGUGGGCUGCAAAAGAAGUAGGUAGUUUAACCUUCGGGGGGACGCUUACCACUU
This 1429-nucleotide ribosomal RNA is filed under the name Vibrio alginolyticus. Its description in RNAcentral is "bacterial SSU rRNA". It matches the Rfam family "Bacterial small subunit ribosomal RNA". Lineage: Bacteria; Pseudomonadati; Pseudomonadota; Gammaproteobacteria; Vibrionales; Vibrionaceae. The record is from RNAcentral.